UCUUAAAGCAACUUCUGCACUUCGGUCACCCUUCCAUUCCAGACUGCACCCUCGGCCCGCCUACAAGAAAACCGCAAAGCCAGACAAUAGAAGCAGGGCGAAGCUGAGAUCCACACAUCGGGGUACCACUUUCAGAUAAAAACAUGGACCUGAUUGGCAUCAUCUGGUAUCCAUGGAAACAUGUGCCCACCAAGGUGCCAGGGUCACUGAACUUAAAGGCCAGGAUGCAGAUCAAAGAGAGACUGAAAGCUGGAGUCCAGUUGGGUAUAUAAAGGCAGAAGUAUAGAUGCAGUUAAAAUUCCAAGCAGCCUUAAGCAUGGAAGAAAUGAGUCAAUUAAUGGACGAGCUUUUAGGCAAUGAUAUUUUGGAAGCUGUCUCUGUGUGAUUUGUUUACUGGUAAUGAGGUAAACUUAAUUAGUUUGGGCAAAUCUUGUGGUUUACAAGGUAAAUUAGUGACCAGCUUAUUUGCCAGCUAAUUCAGUCAUCGCUUUUCCAGACAGCAGGCUAUACCAUGGGAUUAAGAGGGGUGGAAUACUGUGAGUUACGGGGCAUAUUUCGAAUGUCGGAUAUUUCUAAUUUUCUCAAAAAACCCGACCCCCAAAGUGGAUUUUUUUAACCCCAGACAUAAAUCGAGCUAAGCUCCAAUGUGCAAAGAAAAACCCAAAUUGUAUAUGGAGUGCUCCCCAAUAACUGACAAGAACUUGACGUAAAUCUUGACGAUAUGUGAAUGCACACCUGCCCUUCCAUAGUAAAAGUGCCAUCUGGCAGGGCUCUGGUUGUCUCUUGCCAAGAGCCAUAGAGAAACCACUUUCAUUUGUUUAAGUGGGGACCUGUUACCUAUUGUUACCUAUUGUGCCUCCAUGCUACUAUCUGACUAUUCUUUUCACCAUUUCUACCCACUGUUAUUUUAAAAACUUAUUUUGAAACUUAUUUAGUUUGUGUUUCUUAUCUUCUGGAAGAUCAAUCUACAUCUAUUACAUAUAAGGUGGCGAAGUUUUGUUCUAAUGCUAUGUGGUUGCAUCAGUUUUUUUAUUUCAUGCAUAUGUUCUUCCUGAAUUUGUAGUUUAUAUUUAUAUUUUAUUGUUAGCAAUUGCUAGUUAAGUCUUUGAUUGGUACUGUAUGUGAUUGAUGUGAUUUUCUAGCAACCGUUAACCUCUUGUAGGUUUCCUU
Long non-coding RNA from Hemicordylus capensis (graceful crag lizard), 1170 nucleotides. RefSeq lists it as uncharacterized. The record is from RefSeq and is a predicted model, not a curated record. NCBI's taxonomy places the organism in Eukaryota, Metazoa, Chordata, Lepidosauria, Squamata, Cordylidae. The transcript is spliced from 3 exons.